This 468-nucleotide ribosomal RNA is filed under the name uncultured bacterium. RNAcentral's name for it is "partial 16S ribosomal RNA". It matches the Rfam family "Bacterial small subunit ribosomal RNA", at positions 28 to 507 of the family's 1533-position model. The record is from RNAcentral.
GACGAACGCUGGCGGCGUGCUUAACACAUGCAAGUCGAACGGAAAGGCCCUGCUUUUGUGGGGUGCUCGAGUGGCGAACGGGUGAGUAACACGUGAGUAACCUGCCCUUGACUUUGGGAUAACUUCAGGAAACUGGGGCUAAUACCGGAUAGGAGCUCCUGCUGCAUGGUGGGGGUUGGAAAGUUUCGGCGGUUGGGGAUGGACUCGCGGCUUAUCAGCUUGUUGGUGGGGUAGUGGCUUACCAAGGCUUUGACGGGUAGCCGGCCUGAGAGGGUGACCGGCCACAUUGGGACUGAGAGACGGCCCAGACUCCUACGGGAGGCAGCAGUGGGGAAAAUUGCACAAUGGGCGGAAGCCUGAUGCAGCAACGCCGCGUGCGGGAUGACGGCCUUCGGGUUGUAAACCGCUUUCGCCUGUGACGAAGCGUGAGUGACGGUAAUGGGUAAAGAAGCACCGGCUAACUACGUG